GACAGAGGGUGCAAACGUUGCUCGGAAUUACUGGGCGUAAAGCGCGUGUAGGUGGAUUGGUGUGUCAGAUGUGAAAGCCCUGGGCUCAACCCAGGAACUGCACCUGAAACUACCAGUCUUGAGUGGUGGAGAGGGAAGUGGAAUUCCUGGUGUAGAGGUGAAAUUCGUAGAUAUCAGGAGGAACACCAGUGGCGAAAGGCGGCUCACUGGCCCGGUACUGACGCUGAGGUGCGAAAGCGUGGGGGAGCAAACAGG
This 255-nucleotide ribosomal RNA is filed under the name uncultured bacterium. RNAcentral's name for it is "partial 16S ribosomal RNA". It matches the Rfam family "Bacterial small subunit ribosomal RNA", at positions 524 to 776 of the family's 1533-position model. The record is from RNAcentral.